AUCAUGCAGUCGAGCGCAUGGAUUAAGAGCUUGCUCUUAUGAAGUUAGCGGCGGACGGGUGAGUAACACGUGGGUAACCUGCCCAUAAGACUGGGAUAACUCCGGGAAACCGGGGCUAAUACCGGAUAACAUUUUGAACUGCAUGGUUCGAAAUUGAAAGGCGGCUUCGGCUGUCACUUAUGGAUGGACCCGCGUCGCAUUAGCUAGUUGGUGAGGUAACGGCUCACCAAGGCAACGAUGCGUAGCCGACCUGAGAGGGUGAUCGGCCACACUGGGACUGAGACACGGCCCAGACUCCUACGGGAGGCAGCAGUAGGGAAUCUUCCGCAAUGGACGAAAGUCUGACGGAGCAACGCCGCGUGAGUGAUGAAGGCUUUCGGGUCGUAAAACUCUGUUGUUAGGGAAGAACAAGUGCUAGUUGAAUAAGCUGGCACCUUGACGGUACCUAACCAGAAAGCCACGGCUAACUACGUGCCAGCAGCCGCGGUAAUACGUAGGUGGCAAGCGUUAUCCGGAAUUAUUGGGCGUAAAGCGCGCGCAGGUGGUUUCUUAAGUCUGAUGUGAAAGCCCACGGCUCAACCGUGGAGGGUCAUUGGAAACUGGGAGACUUGAGUGCAGAAGAGGAAAGUGGAAUUCCAUGUGUAGCGGUGAAAUGCGUAGAGAUAUGGAGGAACACCAGUGGCGAAGGCGACUUUUCUGGUCUGUAACUGACACUGAGGGCGCGAAAGCGGGGGGGAGCAAAACAGGAUUUAGAUACCCUGGUAAUCCACCCCCUAAAC
Molecule: ribosomal RNA, 779 nt
Filed under: Bacillus cereus
Lineage: Bacteria; Bacillati; Bacillota; Bacilli; Caryophanales; Bacillaceae
Description: bacterial SSU rRNA
Rfam family: Bacterial small subunit ribosomal RNA
Source: RNAcentral